Molecule: long non-coding RNA, 2532 nt
Organism: Rattus norvegicus (Norway rat)
Lineage: Eukaryota; Metazoa; Chordata; Mammalia; Rodentia; Muridae
Source: RefSeq, a predicted model, not a curated record
CUCUCUCUCUCUCUCUCUCUCUCUCUCUCUCUCUCUCUCUCUCUCUGUGUGUUACAUGAUUGGAGUGGCUGUAUUCCAAUGAGCUGCUGGACGGGUAUGUCUGCAGUUGCCACUGUCAUCCCUCAUUUAGAGCAUUGCUACUUAAGCUGUGGUCUGCAGAAGCUAACCAUUUUAUCGUCGUGUGGGAGUCCUUGGAAAGCAUAGGCUCUGUCCCUACGCUGGGCCUGUCGUCUCGGGAACGGUGUUCUUAAAGGAUUUCCAGGUGAUUCAUAGGUGUUUGCGUUUGUGAAGCCAUGGCCGCAGAUGGUAGCACACGGGAGACAUCUGGACAUAUAUUGUAUCCUGCUCAUUGGGGUUGGCACUCUCAGAGUGUAACUGUGAGCCCUUUUCUUCCCCUGCUUCCUCCUCACCCACUAACCGCAUGCUCUGCUUCGGCUGUCAGCUUGCCUCACCACCUCCUCAGCCUAGCAGCUGCUCAUUCCCCAGUUUCUGCGUCCUCAUGGGAGGUUGUUGGGAACUCGUCAGAUGCGAAGGCUUUGGCUUGCUUGCAUCUCUGCUGAAAACAUGGUUGUGCGCCUUACUUUCGGGAGGCAGGGGGCGCAUAUCACCUGCCCGCUUUGCCACAGCAUCUCUUUCAAGAGUCAAAUGUAAACAAGAAAGGGAGUUCAGGUCACAUUUCUCUUUGCAUACUGGAUAUGGAAGAGCCUGCAAUAAUUAUUAAACUUUUUGGUAAUAUUGGAUUGACAACGAGUUUCUUCCUAGGAGAUGCCUGGACGGUGGCUGCCAUUUUUUUCUCACACUAUGGCUGCCCUCUGCCCUUGGUGAAGACAAAGGUCAUCAAAAAGAACACCAAGGAGUUUAUCCAUCAUAAGUUAGACUGAUAAGUCAAAAUUAAGUGAAAUUGAUAGAACCCCCGAGGUACAAACAACAAGUUCUGGAGACGUUUAAGGGCGAGACCCUGAUUCUUCACAUCAGUUAGGGGAGCAACAUGAAAGCAAAUCACAUUCCCGCUUCACAGCCUCUGGAAGUUUCUGGUCCACAGGUGAAGGAACUGGAGGAACUGAUGAUGUGCAGGAAAUCUUACUGUGCCGAGAUCUCUUACAACAUGGCCGCCAAGAACGGCAAAGCCAUCAUGCAAAGAACAGCACAGCUAGUCAUCGGAGCCACUAAUCCCACUUCGAGGCUGCACACUAAAAAAAGUAGAUGGCUCAUGUGAAUAUUUUAUUGGUGCUUAAGUAAAGCUACAGAAACUGCAAAGUAAAUAAAUAAAUAAUAACAGCAAGUCCAAAAAAGAAACACUCUGAGAGUGCUGGAGGUUGCAAGGCAAUUGAGCUGUUUCCGAAUUUUCGUAAAUGGAACCCAGAGGCCUUAAUUAUGAUGUAUAUUUCUUCAAGUGAAGCUUUCGAAUAAAUCAUAAUAGGCAAUUAUAUAAUUUUCCUGCUGUUCCCCAUCCCCUUCCCUUUAUCCUUUCUUAUUAGUACAGGACCUCUACAUAAUAAACUGGCCCAUACUGGGUUGAUUUGCAUAGGUGCACGCUGAUUAUUUAGCCUUGAAGUCUGAUUACAAGUCUCCCUAGAAGAGCUGCCUAGGCUGGACUGAAUAUCCUUCAGCGGAGGAGGUAGAGAGCUGGCUUUGGCUCUCGCUGAGCAGUUGCCUGUCUUCAUUAUCCGACAACUUUUCUACCCAGAGCAGAGCAUCUCAUAUGUAGCAGCUUCUCAGAUGAGGCUAUAAACAUAAGGACUGCAGAAACGCUCGCUGCACUUGACUGAACGGUAGUUGGGGAAGGAGGCAGUACAGAGACAGCGAGCACCUGAUGGAACCAGGCAGCUGAGAACCUGAAGAUCCAGUAACUCGUCUUUCCUCAUGGACCACCAAUGAGGAUGACCGGAGACAUCCAGCCUUUACCUUAUACAAAAUGAGGACGGUUUCAGAUUUCUCUAAACUCACAACUAAUGACCUCAUGGAACUUUGCAACACUGUUUGGAGAAUACUCCCCCCUCCCAAUAUCCUUCAAAGAUAUGUGGCUUCAGGCUUCUAGCAUUCUUUUGCAUAUGAUACAGUACCUCGAAGCCUACAGCUCGAGCUUUCUUUCCUCUUGUUUGACAGACAGCUUAGGGUGAGUCGGAGCAAAACACUCAUCAAUCAAGCCUGGUCCUGGUGAGCUCUGACAUCCUGCAGUGAUGUUGACUGCUGGGAACGUCUCAAGCUCACCUUGGGUCAAGCGUGUAGACCAAGCCAUGGUUUCCUGGCUCCCGUAUCUAAUAUUUGAGUAUAGAGCUCUGAGUACAGAUCUCUAACAGAAGGAAAACUGGGCAAUUCUGAAGCUUCACUCCUAAGACUUGUGUCCAUCACUUUCCUGGAGAAGCCAUAGUUGUUCAGCAAUAGCUUAUUGCUAUGUCUCUACUUCAUGUGCUCUUUCUAGCCUGCAUUAACUGCUAUUUGUAUAGGUGUCUAAAGUCACUUGCAAGAGAAGCUCAGAGCCACGAUGCUAGGAGUGGGAGCUUUCCUGGGGAAUAAAAAAACACUGUGAAA